Molecule: unclassified non-coding RNA, 1625 nt
Filed under: Haliotis rubra (blacklip abalone)
Lineage: Eukaryota; Metazoa; Mollusca; Gastropoda; Lepetellida; Haliotidae
Description: uncharacterized LOC124287849, transcript variant X2
Source: RNAcentral
UGCGCGGAGUACGAGAUUCAUCGUGUCAACAAAUGUGUGGAUGACACUGACAGAAAAAUGAGCAUUUCUAGUCAGGAAGAUGAAGCGAGCAGUGUCGGUAUUACUGAGCUGUCUAUGCUUUGCUCUCUGUCAAGAUGACGAACCAGAUUAUGACAACAUUCUGUAUGGUGGCAUCUGGCGAUUGCCAUCUCCAAGUCCGACUCUUGGAGAGGAGGAUGUCUCAAAAGCUGUUCAGACAGCCAUAGCAUUUCUGGACCAAAGAAAAACUCAUAACAUAAGGAAAUCUGAUGGAGGUCUACAUCCAUACAGCGUUCGAAACAUUCUCAAAAUGAAACUUGCAUUUACAAGUGACGACCGAGAACCCUACCUUUACAGUGUCAUGUCCCAGGAAGACAAACCAAAGCCAAUGUCGACAUUGCUUGUGUUUGGAACCACAUACAUAUUCCAAAUUACUUGGACGUCCAAAGAUUUUAUUUUCAAACACAAUUUUAUUGUGACAAUGUAUCCUAAAGGGAAUUUUUACAUAUUUGCUCACACAUCCAUGAAUGAGGAGUUUUCUCCUCAUCAGAUGAACAAUCAAACCACAGCAGCACAGGAGGAGUCUAACUCAGCAGUAUGUUCAGUGUUGUUUAGUGAUGGAUCUUCGGAUCCUGCUCUGUUUUCUACAAGAUCCUGCACACUGCGGAGGGCGGACGUUCUGAAGGAUCUACAUUCCUGUGAUAACAGGCUCCAGGGGAGCUUGUAUACAGACAUUGGUGCUCAGACUGUCUCAAAGUCCUGUGUUAAAAGAUCUGAUAUCUAUUUAAAUUUUACAGUAAUGACUUACAAUACAUGGAACUUUAACUCUAGGCCUGAGAAGGGGAGCCAUUAUUAUGUGGACAGGAUCAAAAGGCUUGGACAGGUGAUAAAUGACUACAAGCCAGACAUCAUAGCAUUCCAGGAGGUGAGGUUUGAAUACCAGAAAGGUGGAUCCCUGGGACCAAAUCAAGCUCAACACCUUGCAGACAUGCUUCAGGGGUACCAGUUUGUGUACCAGCCGGCACAGCUCCAGCCAAACAGUGUGAGGGAUGGACGGACAGAAGAGGGUGUGGCUGUCUUCUCGCGCUACCCCAUCAUAUCUCACCACUCACUGCCUCUCUUCAGGAAUCAAAGUAACAGUGCCGACCUUCAUCAGAGAAUGUGUCAGCAUGUCGAGGUUCAACUUCCGAAUCAGAAAACUGUCCAUAUCUUCAACACGCACCUGUCUUUUGAGUCAUGAAGCCAGGAGCAGUCAGUGAGGGAAAUGUGGAACUACAUGGGCAAGUUUGAGGAGCAGCCAUUUUGACAGGGGACUUAAAUGCUGAACCACAAGAGAAUGCAAUAAGGUACCUGCAAGAAAAACAUCUCUGAUAGACACAUGGCAGCAUCUCCAUGGCAAUGGAGGAGGAUACACAUUCAACACUUUAAAUAAGGAUCUCACAAAAGGAUUGAUUACAUCUUUUUGAGAAGCCAGAAAAAUAUCCACAUCUUGGACACAGAAGUGCUAGACGAUGGAAAGAGGGGAGAGAAGGCUGCCUCCGACCAUGUUCCACUUGUUGCAAACUUUGGUUUUUCAUGAAUCGAAAUAAAACAAAUAAUAAAUGAAA